AAAUCUCGCCAGAAAAUUUCACCGCCUCCAACAGUAACCGCGCGUGGGCCACACGCGCCGCCAGUGGCAUUUUCGUAAAUUUCGGAGAAAUUCAAGGGUAUUUCAUUAUUUUGCCUAUACAGUGGCACUCAGGUAAUUUUUUGGGGUUUCUACUGGUAUUUUUGAUAUUUUUUAUAUAUAUAAAUGCUUGUAAAUUUUCUUGCAUGUUGUAAAAAAUACAAAAACCAAAGUCGACACGUCUCUUUUU
This 247-nucleotide long non-coding RNA is filed under the name Populus trichocarpa (black cottonwood). RNAcentral describes it as "long non-coding RNA (PTRI_LNC000016)". Lineage: Eukaryota; Viridiplantae; Streptophyta; Magnoliopsida; Malpighiales; Salicaceae. The record is from RNAcentral.